This 363-nucleotide transfer-messenger RNA is filed under the name Bacteroidetes bacterium HLUCCA01. It matches the Rfam family "transfer-messenger RNA". From Rfam's summary of the family: Bacterial tmRNA, also known as 10Sa RNA or SsrA, is named for its dual tRNA and mRNA-like properties. Its role is to liberate the mRNA from a stalled ribosome. The record is from RNAcentral. RNAcentral also lists the same sequence under 1 other name. Lineage: Bacteria; Pseudomonadati; Bacteroidota.
GGGGGUGUACCUGGUUUCGACGGAUAGUGUUGGGUCGCAGGUUGCACGUCAAGUUUUUCUCGGAUGUAUCUUGUAAAAACAACCGGGGUUAAUCGUAAAUGCAAACAAUUACGAAUACCGCAUGGCCGCCUAACAGCCCGUGCCGUUCUGUCUCAUACCUGCCUGCUGGUGUGUUUCAGGGCGUUAUACUUAGCAGGCUAGUGUUGUACAAUGAUUGUACCUGCAACAUGAAUCCUUACAAUCCAGCGAUACGACGCGGGCCUGACCGCCAACCGUAUCGUUAAAUUUAUAGUCAGGCUAAACGUGUAGAUACUUGUUGGUUCUCCUGUUCGGACGCGGGUUCGACUCCCGCCACCUCCACAA